RNAcentral lists this ribosomal RNA (419 nucleotides) under Triticum aestivum (bread wheat). RNAcentral describes it as "partial small subunit ribosomal RNA". Lineage: Eukaryota; Viridiplantae; Streptophyta; Magnoliopsida; Poales; Poaceae. The record is from RNAcentral.
GUUCUCCGGUGAGCUGCCGCGGUGGCGGACGAGAGGGGCUCGGUUCACGCGCCGGCGCCGGCGUGCCACGGGACGACAGGGAAGGAGCGGUGCCUAGCUGGGGAGUAGGCGUGCAAGGAAGGCUGGCCCGUGUUUUGUACUGGUGGCGAGGGGCGGUGAGAACGUGCCGAAUUCCGGGAGGGGGACGGGGGAAAGGGAAGGGAGGCGAUCGCGGCGUGGACGGAGCGCAGCGGGAUGAGAAAGCUCGGCGCGGUUUCGGCGAGCCGGGCGCGUACUGCGUCCUAUCCUGGCUAGCUGAUGGCGGUGGAGGUGCUGCCGGACUGGAUGGACUGCUGCCUGAUGAUGUGCUCUGCCCCGGCCGGGUGGGGUGCCGCCUUUUGUGCGGAACCGGGUUGGGGCACGCGGUGUGGAGGGGCCUC